GAUGAACGCUAGCUACAGGCUUAACACAUGCAAGUCGAGGGGCAGCAGGGAUUUAGCUUGCUAAAUCCGCUGGCGACCGGCGCACGGGUGCGUAACGCGUAUCCAACUUUCCCGUUACUCAGGGAUAGCCUUCCGAAAGGGAGAUUAAUACCUGAUGGUGUUCAAAUUCCGCAUGUUAUUUGAACUAAAGAUUCAUCGGUAACGGAUGGGGAUGCGUGACAUUAGAUAGUAGGCGGGGUAACGGCCCACCUAGUCUACGAUGUCUAGGGGUUCUGAGAGGAAGGUCCCCCACACUGGAACUGAGACACGGUCCAGACUCCUACGGGAGGCAGCAGUGAGGAAUAUUGGUCAAUGGUCGGAAGACUGAACCAGCCAAGUAGCGUGAAGGAUGAAGGUUCUAUGGAUUGUAAACUUCUUUUAUACGGGAAUAAAACCUCCCACGUGUGGGAGCUUGUAUGUACCGUAUGAAUAAGCAUCGGCUAACUCCGUG
This 490-nucleotide ribosomal RNA is filed under the name uncultured bacterium. Its description in RNAcentral is "bacterial SSU rRNA". It matches the Rfam family "Bacterial small subunit ribosomal RNA", at positions 28 to 507 of the family's 1533-position model. The record is from RNAcentral.